AACGAACGCUGGCGGCAUGCCUAACACAUGCAAGUCGAACGAGACCUCCGGGUCUAGUGGCGCACGGGUGCGUAACGCGUGGGAACCUGCCCUUAUGUUUGGAAUAACUCUCCGACAGGGGUGCUAACACCGGAUAAUGUCUUCGGACCAAAGAUUUAUCGCCUGUGGAUGGGCCCGCGUUGGAUUAGCUAGUUGGUAGGGUAAAAGCCUACCAAGGCGACGAUCCAUAGCUGGUCUGAGAGGAGGCUCAGCCACACUGGGACUGAGGCACGGCCCACUCCUACGGGAGGCGGCAGUGGGGAAUAUUGGACAAUGGGCGGAAGGCUGAUGCAGCUAGGCCGCGUGAGUGAUGAAGGCCUUAGGGUUGUAAAGCUCUUUUACCCGGGAUGAUAAUGACGGUACCGGGAGAAUAAGCUCCGGCUAACUCCGUG
This 431-nucleotide ribosomal RNA is filed under the name uncultured bacterium. RNAcentral's name for it is "partial 16S ribosomal RNA". It matches the Rfam family "Bacterial small subunit ribosomal RNA", at positions 29 to 507 of the family's 1533-position model. The record is from RNAcentral.